Lonchura striata (white-rumped munia) is the source of this 290-nucleotide non-coding RNA. NCBI's taxonomy places the organism in Eukaryota, Metazoa, Chordata, Aves, Passeriformes, Estrildidae. The record is from RefSeq and is a predicted model, not a curated record.
CACGGCGGGGCUGCAGACGCACACGGCAGCGCGGAUUUGGGGUUAUUUCCUCUACUUUUGGUGAUCGUACCCUCAAAAGAGCAAACUACUCAUAUCAGAUCUCUUGGUUGGAUAUAGGAAUAGAAGACUAAAGAUCAGUCUGCAGCUAUUUCUUUGCAAGAAAACAAACCAGAAAUAAAGCAGCCACAGUGGAGACUUCAUCAGCAAACAAUGACAAGACAAAGACAUCGUGAGAAGGGAAACCAAGAGCCACCACAAGGGUAAAGCAUGCUCCUCUUCCAACAGUGCAC